This is a long non-coding RNA of Prionailurus viverrinus (fishing cat), 601 nucleotides long. RefSeq lists it as uncharacterized. Lineage: Eukaryota; Metazoa; Chordata; Mammalia; Carnivora; Felidae. The transcript is spliced from 4 exons. The record is from RefSeq and is a predicted model, not a curated record.
UGUCUCUCUCUGUCCCAAAAAUAAAUAAACGUUGAAAAAAACGUGCCCGCGGGAUUUUAAUUUACGGAGGUAACGGAGUGACAAGAAAGGCUAAUGCCUUAACCUCUUACUACUCGCAGACCCCCUGGAAAGGAGGCGCACAUCCACGCCAUCCAGGGCGCAUGAAGCCGGUCACAUGCAGGAUCCCGAAGCAGAAAGAGAGGAGCUGGGACUAGGCCAAGACGCGGUGGCCGGGAAGGAGAUCGGAUUGUGAACGUUUUAAGGACCUUGUGAGGCCUAAAAACACCGUGAGGUCGUGGCAGCUGUUCUGAAGGCCCCUGGAAGAUGUGUCCUUAUUCCUUGACCACAUGUGAAGCAGAGAGAGGUGUCCUUCUAAAAGUUGUAGGAAGAGGAGGGGGAGAUUACUGCCAUAUAAGGAAGUUCUAUUUGAUGACCCGAGACAAAGAUGCUCCACGGAUGCCUUGCUGCCUUUGAAGUAAGUAUUGCUGGGAAAACAGACCUUUACCGCCUCUCCUUCUCAAAGGCAGCACAUCUGGUUGGCAACCUUCAUGUUCGCAGCUAGCAAUGGGGAAAGGUUAUGAUGGCUGGACUAAUGCUCCUU